This is a non-coding RNA of Eucalyptus grandis, 101 nucleotides long. NCBI's taxonomy places the organism in Eukaryota, Viridiplantae, Streptophyta, Magnoliopsida, Myrtales, Myrtaceae. The record is from Rfam.
AUUGCAGUGAUGAGAUUAAGGCACCCGAGGGGGUGUCGAUGGGCAGUGGAUCAAUCCGUGAGCCCGAAUUUAUAAAACGACUUCUCCUUCCACUGAGCAAC